UNCACAGUGAAAAUGAGCACAUGCCUUCCC
This 30-nucleotide non-coding RNA is filed under the name Mus musculus (house mouse). The record is from RNAcentral. Lineage: Eukaryota; Metazoa; Chordata; Mammalia; Rodentia; Muridae.